This 475-nucleotide ribosomal RNA is filed under the name uncultured bacterium. RNAcentral's name for it is "bacterial SSU rRNA". It matches the Rfam family "Bacterial small subunit ribosomal RNA", at positions 70 to 518 of the family's 1533-position model. The record is from RNAcentral.
CUAUGGAAGCUUGCUUCCGCUGAGAAGAUAGUGGCGAACGGGUGAGUAACACGUGGGGUAACCUGCCCAUAAGAGGGGGAUAACAUCCGGAAACGGGUGCUAAUACCGCAUAGGUUUUCUUGAUCGCAUGAUCGGGAAAGGAAAGACGGCCUUUGUGCUGUCGCUUAUGGAUGGACCCGCGGCGUAUUAGUUAGUUGGUGAGGUAACGGCUCACCAAGACGAUGAUACGUAGCCGACCUGAGAGGGUGAUCGGCCACAUUGGGACUGAGACACGGCCCAAACUCCUACGGGAGGCAGCAGUAGGGAAUCUUCCGCAAUGGACGAAAGUCUGACGGGAGCAACGCCGCGUGAGUGGAAAAGAAGGUUUUCGGAUCGUAAAACUCUGUUGUCAGAGAAGAACAAGUUGGAGAGUAACUGCUCCAGCCUUGACGGUAUCUGACCAGAAAGCCACGGCUAACUACGUGCCAGCCGCGGC